CUAUUAUUGAGCAAUGGUUACUAUAUCCCAACAGUCGAGUUGGCUGUUUUUAUCUGAUAUGGCUUUCACUGCUAUGCAUGUGAAAAAUAGGAGUUUAUUUGGUAUUGCUAUAGUUAAAACAUUGUAAUAAAUCAAGGUUUUUAAUAAAAAGGGAACUGUCUCGUACCAGGAUUCUUUAACAUUAUAUCUACUUAUCCUUUACAUAUUACAAAUAUGUUCUUGUAUGAUCUGAAAAAAAUAAUAAUUUGGAAAUCUACAUUGCUGUAUUUAUUUCAGUUCUGG
Molecule: non-coding RNA, 282 nt
Organism: Pelobates cultripes (western spadefoot toad)
Lineage: Eukaryota; Metazoa; Chordata; Amphibia; Anura; Pelobatidae
Source: the annotation of a GenBank genome assembly